RNAcentral lists this ribosomal RNA (419 nucleotides) under uncultured eukaryote. RNAcentral's name for it is "bacterial SSU rRNA". It matches the Rfam family "Eukaryotic small subunit ribosomal RNA", at positions 592 to 1016 of the family's 1831-position model. The record is from RNAcentral.
CAAUAGCGUAUAUUAAAGUUGUUGCAGUUAAAAAGCUCGUAGUCGGAUUUCGGGUCGGGCCGAGCGGUCUGCCGAUGGGUAUGCACUGUUUGGCGCGGCCUUCUUUCCGGAGACCGCGGCUACUCUUAACUGAGGCGGACGGGGGAAACGGGAUUUUUACUUUGAGGAAAUCAGAGUGUUCAAAGCAGGCUUUUGUAUGUAUGUGUUAGCAUGGGAUAAUAAAAUAGGACUUGGGUGCUAUUUUGUUGGUUUCGAACACCUAAGUAAUGAUUAAUAGGGAUAGUCAGGGGCACUCGUAUUCCACCGAGAGAGGUGAAAUUCUUAGACCAGUGGAAGACGAACUUCUGCGAAAGCAUUUGCCAGGGAUGUUUUCACUGAUCAAGAACGAAAAGUUAGGGGAUCGAAGACGAUCAGAUACC